UGUGUUAACCAAGUCUUGCUGUCAAGGCUUAAUCAAGCUCUUGAGGGAAAGUCCCCGGACCAAUUGAGAGAGUCUUUUCUUUAACAAGAUUACAUUCUCAUUGAAUUCAAUUGCCGAGAAGAUGAAUCAAUCUGAGCCUAGUUGAAGUUCAAUGAAUUCAAUGGUCUACAUUGAAAGUAAAAUGCAAGAAGCAUUCCUAAUCAGGAAUGUCAACAGAAUGGGGCUUACUCUGGUUUAACAC
RNAcentral lists this RNase MRP RNA (241 nucleotides) under Tetranychus urticae (two-spotted spider mite). Its description in RNAcentral is "RNase MRP". It matches the Rfam family "RNase MRP". From Rfam's summary of the family: RNase MRP is an enzymatically active ribonucleoprotein with two distinct roles in eukaryotes. The record is from Rfam by way of RNAcentral. Lineage: Eukaryota; Metazoa; Arthropoda; Arachnida; Trombidiformes; Tetranychidae.